GAGAAAGGGUCUCGCUCUUGUCACAAAGGCUGCAAUGCAAUGAGCCUGCACCCAGCCAAUAAAAUUUAUUUUUAAAAACAUUUUUCAAAAUUGAGGAUAAGUAAAGCACAAGAAUGAAGAACAGUAUGAAGUCUUUCCCCUAGAUUAUUUCAUGGAAAUCUCACCACAAUCUUAGUAAAAAUGAUAGCCUAUUUUUUUUAAAAAAGGUCGAGACAAUAGUCCAAAGACACUUUACUAAUAAACGGAGGAACCCAAAUAUUUCUGCCCCUAAAUCCAUGGCUCAUGUUACUACACCAUUUUCUUUUCCAUUCUAGAAUGAAAACCAAUUAUGAAAAAAAGUGGUAGAGAGGAAAGAGGAACAGUAAGGGGGAGAAAUUUAUUAACCUAUAGGUUUACAUGAUCAAAGUAGUUAAUGAAAACAAAAUGUGGAAUAGAGCCAUUAAAAAAAAAACUAACUGCAAACUUGGAUCACUGUAAUCACACUGAUUAAACAGACCCAUUCUAA
RNAcentral lists this long non-coding RNA (505 nucleotides) under Homo sapiens (human). RNAcentral's name for it is "non-protein coding lnc-ITSN2-3:1". The record is from RNAcentral. Lineage: Eukaryota; Metazoa; Chordata; Mammalia; Primates; Hominidae.